ACGAAUGGUCUCCGUACCUUCAAACCCCUCAAACCAGUGGACAUUUGAAAAUGUGCUUCGGCGCUCUUGCGCCGUCUUUAUGCCAUGAAUCUGUCGUUUGUGUCUGAAUGCAAAGCAAAAUAAUGA
This 126-nucleotide unclassified non-coding RNA is filed under the name uncultured Archaeorhizomyces. RNAcentral describes it as "sequence contains ITS1". The record is from RNAcentral. Lineage: Eukaryota; Fungi; Ascomycota; Archaeorhizomycetes; Archaeorhizomycetales; Archaeorhizomycetaceae.